GGAACGACAUGGGGGUAAGUGAUUAAUGACAAAAUUUUUAUUUUGGGGUGGCGUAUCCCUUUAACACAGACAUUUAAGAAGGG
This is a long non-coding RNA of Sinocyclocheilus anshuiensis, 83 nucleotides long. RefSeq lists it as uncharacterized. NCBI's taxonomy places the organism in Eukaryota, Metazoa, Chordata, Actinopteri, Cypriniformes, Cyprinidae. The transcript has 3 exons. The record is from RefSeq and is a predicted model, not a curated record.